This 785-nucleotide ribosomal RNA is filed under the name uncultured bacterium. RNAcentral describes it as "bacterial SSU rRNA". It matches the Rfam family "Bacterial small subunit ribosomal RNA", at positions 705 to 1504 of the family's 1533-position model. The record is from RNAcentral.
AACACCAAUUGCGAAGGCAGCUCACUAAACUAUUACUGACGCUCAUGAACGAAAGCGUGGGGAGCAAACAGGAUUAGAUACCCUGGUAGUCCACGCCGUAAACUAUGAUCACUAGAUGUUGGCGAUAUAUUGUCAGUGUUUUAGAGAAAUCGUUAAGUGAUCCACCUGGGGAGUACGUUCGCAAGAAUGAAACUCAAAGGAAUUGACGGGGGCCCGCACAAGCGGAGGAGCAUGUGGUUUAAUUCGAUGAUACGCGAGGAACCUUACCAAGACUUAAAUGUAUUUUGACAGGUUGAGAAAUCAACUUUUCUUCGGACAAUUUACAAGGUGCUGCAUGGUUGUCGUCAGCUCGUGCCGUGAGGUGCCGGGUUAAGUCCCAUAACGAGCGCAACCCCUAUUUUUAGUUACCAGCGAGUCAUGUCGGGAACUCUAGAAAGACUGCCUGUGUAAACAGUGAGGAAGGUGGGGAUGACGUCAAAUCAUCACGGCCCUUAUGUCUUGGGCUACACACGUGCUACAAUGGUCACUACAGUGGGCUGCCAUCUGGCAACAGAGAGCAAAUCCAUAAAGGUGAUCCCAGUUCGGAUCGGAGUCUGCAACUCGACUCUGUGAAGUUGGAUUCGCUAGUAAUCGUAUAUCAGCAAUGAUACGGUGAAUACGUUCCCGGGCCUUGUACACACCGCCCGUCAAGCCAUGGAAGUUUGUGGUGCCUGAAGUCAGUAACCGUAAGGAUCUGCCUAGGGUAAAACAGAUAACUAGGGCUAAGUCGUAACAAGGUAGCCGUA